RNAcentral lists this long non-coding RNA (220 nucleotides) under Amborella trichopoda. RNAcentral describes it as "long non-coding RNA (ATRI_LNC005104)". Lineage: Eukaryota; Viridiplantae; Streptophyta; Magnoliopsida; Amborellales; Amborellaceae. The record is from RNAcentral.
GUUGUAUUAUGCUUGUACACUAAGCAUGUAUUAUGCUUGUACACUAAGCAUUCAUUGUUUUGAGAUUAGUAUAUUUAGCUAUGCAAUUUAUUUAUGUCGUCAUUGUUUCAAAAAGGGGACCGCCUAGCGCUUGGCCACCGCCUAGGGCUUGUGCCCCACCCAGGGGUAGAAUUACGGCUCUUUAAGGGUAUUUUUGGGUCAUUUUUUUAAUACUAAAGGG